CCUACGGGUGGCAGCAGUCGAGAAUUUUUCUCAAUGGGCGAAAGCCUGAAGGAGCGACGCCGCGUGGAGGAUGAAGGUUUUCGGAUCGUAAACUCCUGUCAUUGGGGAACAAUUCUACGGGGAGUAACUGCCCUGUAGUUGAUAGUACCCGAAGAGGAAGGGACGGCUAACUCUGUGCCAGCAGCCGCGGUAAUACAGAGGUCCCAAGCGUUGUUCGGAUUCAUUGGGCGUAAAGGGUGCGUAGGCGGCGAGGUAAGUUGGAUGUGAAAUCCCGGGGCUCAACCCCGGAACUGCAUUCAAUACUGCCUUGCUAGAGUAUUGGAGAGGAGAUUGGAAUUCACGGUGUAGCAGUGAAAUGCGUAGAUAUCGUGAGGAAGACCAGUGGCGAAGGCGAAUCUCUGGACAAUAACUGACGCUGAGGCACGAAGGCU
Molecule: ribosomal RNA, 431 nt
Filed under: uncultured bacterium
Lineage: Bacteria
Description: bacterial SSU rRNA
Rfam family: Bacterial small subunit ribosomal RNA
Source: RNAcentral